Long non-coding RNA from Mauremys reevesii (Reeves's turtle), 719 nucleotides. RefSeq lists it as uncharacterized. Lineage: Eukaryota; Metazoa; Chordata; Testudines; Geoemydidae. The transcript is spliced from 5 exons. The record is from RefSeq and is a predicted model, not a curated record.
CCCAUCCACUUUGUCAACACGUUUAACUUGUAACCACGUGGGCAAGAGUUUUCACUGGAGCUGCAUCGGUUUGCCUAACCCCCUCAUGAAAAUACAGCCACAGCUCGGGUGGGGAUGGACUGCUCCUCAGCAAUCCCCUGAGAGGAAAACUCCACCAGGCACCGUCCCGUUCUCACAAGAAGCCUCAGUGUAUCUUUAAUGUGCAGGAAGAGCACGCAAGACCUGUUUUAAGACAUGACCCACUGGCUUCCUGAUUCUGCCUAUUGUACUCCAGCUCACUGGCAAGAAAGUGACAGAAGAUCCUAACAAAGAACCAAGAGAAAAGGGGCCAAGAUGAGAAAAUCACCAAGCCCUUCCUACAGAUGAGCAUCUUCAACCAUGUAUGUGCCUUGCCCGGACCUUCUACAAACCACUCUUCACAAAGUUUGCCAGAUAUCGUCAAUGUCACCUCUCCCCUUAGAGAUUGCCACAAACACAGGUAGAUCUAAUUGAGUAUCACUGUCUAAGAGGGUUCGUUACUAGCACUUGCCUGACCAAGUUGGAGCCAGCCAACAUGGGUUUAAGCAAAUGGAGUCUAGUUCUGUUGGUCUACAACCCCUUGCAACUCCACAUCCCUCCACUUUAAGUACUACCUUCAAGUUGUUUCAUGCAGGUGGAUUCCUGUGCCUACAAAGGGCCCCAUUGUCUUCAGUGCAGAUGUCUACUUGUGAGCACCAGUG